This 498-nucleotide ribosomal RNA is filed under the name uncultured bacterium. RNAcentral describes it as "bacterial SSU rRNA". It matches the Rfam family "Bacterial small subunit ribosomal RNA", at positions 66 to 543 of the family's 1533-position model. The record is from RNAcentral.
ACGCGAAAGUCCCCUUCGGGGGACGAGUAGAGUGGCGCACGGGUGAGUAACACGUAGGUAAUCUACCUUCGGAUGGGGAAUAACAACCGGAAACGGUUGCUAAUACCGCAUAAUGCAGCGGCACCUAAUGGUGACAGUUGUUAAAGCGGGGGAUCGUAAGACCUCGCGUCUGAAGAGGAGCCUGCGGCGGAUUAGCUAGUUGGUAGGGUAAUGGCUUACCAAGGCGAUGAUCCGUAGCCGGCCUGAGAGGGCGGUCGGCCACACUGACACUGACAUACGGGUCAGACUCCUACGGGAGGCAGCAGUCGGGAAUUUUGGGCAAUGGGCGAAAGCCUGACCCAGCAACGCCGCGUGAAGGAUGAAAUCCUUCGGGAUGUAAACUUCGCAAGAACGGGAAGAAUAAGUAAGAGUUAAUAUCUCUUACGAUGACGGUACUGUUUGUAAGCUCCGGCUAACUCCGUGCCAGCAGCCGCGGUAAUACGGGGGGAGCAAGCGUUG